This 1994-nucleotide unclassified non-coding RNA is filed under the name Hevea brasiliensis (rubber tree). The record is from RNAcentral. Lineage: Eukaryota; Viridiplantae; Streptophyta; Magnoliopsida; Malpighiales; Euphorbiaceae.
UUCUGUUCGCAUUUAAUCCUCUCAAACCCAAAGCCAUAUCAUAUCCCUACAUCCGUACAUAAUUUUGGUAGACCUCAACAACUUAACAGCCACAUGCAUAGCUAGGGUCAUCAAAUUAUGCAGAUUUAAUUCUAUUAAAUUUCACAUUUAUGCGCCAAACUCAUUGAUCCAACCGAUUAAAAUGGAUGCAAUGUUAACAAAAAUAUUUAGACUAUCCAAAUUCACCUUUCAAAAUACUGAAAUAUGUUGUUAAGAUGUCACUUAAACAGGCAAGGAGAAAACAGAACCUACAAAUCAUCUGAAACUCUCAUGCCAUAAUGGCCUGCCAAACUUUGAAGAGUUUUGUCACUCAAGACACCAACUAUCAUCUCAUACUUCUUAAAAUUAGCUUUUAGGUUCUCCACCUGUUGCUUAUGUAGCUUCUCUUCUCUGUCCAGUUGUUGCUUGUGCAAGAAAGAAGCUUCAGCGGCAUGCUUUCGAGUGAGGCGCUUCAGUUUCUUUGCUACCUCAAAAUCAGGGUUACUUGGGUCUAACCAACUGCAACGUACCCUUCUACCAGGCUUCACUGGGCGAUCAUCGAACAUUUCAACUUCAGCAAAACGAGCCCUUACAGGCCUUGGCAUCCCAGCAAUCAAGAAAGGAAAUUCAGUUAUGGAUGAGAUGACUUUUUUGGCUUUCUCAGAGUCUUCCAUCUCUACCAAAGCACAAAGGAUGUUCCUAGGUUCCAAAUAGUUUGGAAUUAAACUCGCGCUCACGACAGUUCCAAACUGAUUUAGAGCUUUUGCUAAGACAGUUUCGGUUACUUGUGGUGAAAGGUUGUCAACAAAAAUUGUCCGCUUCACUUUUUCUUCAAAUGCAGCAUACUUUGCUUCAGCUGUAGACUCCAUGUUAUAGUGCACACUCUAAGUAAAGCCAAAAACAUAGUAAGACAAAGUAUCAAUUAUAGAUUUUUUAAUCCAUAAUUAUAUUUUAUCAUUACGUCUAGCCAAUCAUUACACAUCAUAUCCACUAUGUCAAAUUAAUAACCAGGUGCCAUCGAAACCAAAAACUUGCAUAUUUAACAAUAUUUUAUUAUAAAGCUAAAUGGAUUUACCAAUAUCAAUAUUAACCCAGCUUCAAGAUCUUAAAGUAGACCAUAAGCAAACCAAGAACCACAUCACUGCAGGCUAUCUUGCCAUGAUUUAGACCUAUCCCUUGAUUAAGGUUUAAACAAACAAAUGCAAUUGCACUAUAUUAAACAAGUGAACUUCAAGAAUAUCUAGAUGCUGCUAUAUGCACAGAUAUACUAACAUUUUCAUUAAGUGGACCAAUUUUUUUCCCAAAUUUCAAACCCAUAAACUAAAACCAAGAAAGAAAAAACUGGUUAAAAAAAUCUGAAAGGGCGCAUAAUAGUUGCAGGAAUUCAAACGGGCAUUGCAGUGAUACUAGAAAACAAAAGCCUAAAUAUAGUUACUCACAAGUAAUCACUACCCAAAAGCCAAUGUGUUUUUGUAGCAUUAAUUAUCAAGUUUGAAAAGAUUGCGCACAUAUCAAGAUUAUGAUAAAGCUAAAUGGAUUUACCAAUAUCAAUAUUAACCCAGCUUCAAGAUCUUAAAGUAGACCAUAAGCAAACCAAGAACCACAUCACUGCAGGCUAUCUUGCCAUGAUUUAGACCUAUCCCUUGAUUAAGGUUUAAACAAACAAAUGCAAUUGCACUAUAUUAAACAAGUGAACUUCAAGAAUAUCUAGAUGCUGCUAUAUGCACAGAUAUACUAACAUUUUCAUUAAGUGGACCAAUUUUUUUCCCAAAUUUCAAACCCAUAAACUAAAACCAAGAAAGAAAAAACUGGUUAAAAAAAUCUGAAAGGGCGCAUAAUAGUUGCAGGAAUUCAAACGGGCAUUGCAGUGAUACUAGAAAACAAAAGCCUAAAUAUAGUUACUCACAAGUAAUCACUACCCAAAAGCCAAUGUGUUUUUGUAGCAUUAAUUAUCAAGUUUGAAAAGAUUGCGCACA